This 433-nucleotide ribosomal RNA is filed under the name uncultured bacterium. RNAcentral describes it as "partial 16S ribosomal RNA". It matches the Rfam family "Bacterial small subunit ribosomal RNA", at positions 29 to 507 of the family's 1533-position model. The record is from RNAcentral.
AACGAACGCUGGCGGCAUGCCUAACACAUGCAAGUCGAACGAAACCUUCGGGGCUAGUGGCGGACGGGUGAGUAACACGUGGGAACGUGCCCUUCGGUUCGGAAUAACUCACCGAAAGGUGUGCUAAUACCGCAUGUUCUCUUCGGGGGAAAGAUUUAUCGCCAUUGGAGCGGCCCGCGUCUGAUUAGCUAGUUGGUAAGGUAAAAGCCUACCAAGGCGACGAUCCGUAGCUGGUCUGAGAGGAUGACCAGCCACACUGGGACUGAGACACGGCCCAGACUCCUACGGGAGGCAGCAGUAGGGAAUAUUGGGCAAUGGGCGAAAGCCUGAUGCAGCCAUGCCGCGUGAGUGAUGAAGGCCUUAGGAUUGUAAAGUUCUUUCACCCGGGACGAUAAUGACGGUACCGGGAGAAGAAGCCCCGGCUAACUACGUG